CGCCGCUUAGCGGGUUUGCACUUCAAAGACUGACAAUCCUCGGUGGACGCCGCCACCUCUAGCAUCUGCUCCGGCGAAUCACAUUGCGGGCUCUGCGCAAUGCUAAAGAAUCAUGCUUUGUGAAGGAAGAAUAGAUGGUUUAUGUUGAGAGUUGCUUUGGAAUUGAGAGUUGAAGCAUCAAGGAAGAAGGAUGAACUUGGGGAAAUUGGGCAGCUAGAGUGACAUAUAACCGUCAAAGAUUAAGAUGCUUGCAAGAAAAUGACAAUGUUUGGCAGGCUCCUAUGUGACACAUGCUAGUAGUUGGUAAUGAAUGGCAAUUGCCAGCCUGCCACCAUUAUAUUUUGUAGCAUUUAUAAAUGCUAUUACUGGCAACAGUGGUCAAAGGGAUUAAAAAUUCACACUUGAAACGGUGGGAAAUUGCCUAUAUAGUUAUCUCGCACUGUUUCAGGCUGAUUCUUUGGGCGUUAAGGCCUUUCACUGUAAAAGACCCAUUGUUUCCCCCUUUUGUUGGUUAAUGUCAACGUUCUUGUGCCUCCAGCGCACUAGCCAAGUGGCCAAGAGAACUUUUUUAAGCUACUUUCCUUUCUCAAGCUAGUAUUCAAGUCAAACUUAAUUUCCCACCAAAUUUUUUGGCAAGUUUUUACAUUCCUCAGCGUGAUUCAGAAAUUAUAUACUAAAUGAGGUAAGUUUUAGAAUUUUGCAAUUAAUAGUUAUUUUAGGUGUGAUGAUGUGUUGCCUUUUUCAGUAAAUUCCUUUAAUAGGAUUGAUUUGAGUCAUAUGGCUUCUUCCUUCCUUCCUUUCUUUUUUUUUUUUUAAAUAACUCAUUAUAACAAUUAACACCAGAUGCCACUGCUGACAACCUGAUACAUCAACUGCAUGACUUUGACUCCUGAUUUAAAACCAUGGUCUAAAGGAACUAGCAUUUGCAAUUUUUUUUCACAUCCAAAUUAUUAUUUUUAUAAAGUAUUCUUAAGAUGAGUUGCUCAUAAGAACAAAUUAUACGUGAAAUUAUGUUACUGCAUAGUCACUGGGCUGGAAAAAUAACUGAGCUUUAAUUAUUUAUUAUUUCUGUUGACCUCUUUUCACUUUAAAUUUGUGCAACUAAUGACUAUUUUGUGAAUUUAAUUCAUUUUUGGCACAUAACUCUUUUCAGUUUUUGUGAGUGUAUAAGGAGUGAAAACAUGAUACAUUUGAUGUCCUUUUCUCAACACUUUAUUUUAAUUUAAGUCCAUGUACAGCCAUUUAACUAAAGUCAAACUAAUAUUUCUUAUGGGCUUAUUCAUCAGUUUGUUGUGUAUGUCUUGGUAUUCUUGUUGUAGGCACACUUAUUCAUUUGGUGAAAUGAUGGGCCUCCUAUAGAAUUAUUAUUAUUAUUAUUAUUUUUGGUUUUAUUUGCUUUCUUCUUUGUUUUCUGGAGACCAUGCAAGGUAAAGAGUUUUUGAUCUCCCUUAAAUCUGCUUUUGAUUUGGGGCUUUAAUUUGGUCUAACCUCAAGUGGGUUUCCAUAAAAUCAUCUGAUUUUUUCCUCUUCUUGUUGAUUAUUGUUAGGGACAUUUAUUCCUGCAGCAAACUGCAGCUUUCGAGUUGUCUCUCAUCUCAUGGACUCUUUUCUAGUAGACAAAAUGGGACCCUUAUCAAAAUGGGUCUCUGCUAAGGUGCCAAAUAUGGGAAGGAUUUCUUGUUCCCUUUUAUGGUCAGAUAUGCGCUAUUCUAUGGCUAAAAGGGAAGUUUUUGCUGAGAAUUUCCAUGUUCACAGCACUUAUUGUUUUGUUUGGCUUUUGCGGGAACUGCUUCUUUUUGCUGCUGCCUCCACGAAACAGGAACAUGAGCGGGAAAGAUAUUGUGAGCAUGAUUUCGAGUGGUGGAACUGUUGUGAUCGAAGAAGUUUCAGAUUCAAAUAGCAGCACUUAUCCAUCACUGGCGAGCAAACAUGCAAGGAAUGAUAACAACAAUAUCUCCACUUCCAAAUUCAGAGGUGUUGUAGCACAUCAAAGUGGGCACUGGGGCUGUCAAAUAUAUGCCAAUCACCAACGUGUUUGGCUUGGGACCUUUAAAUAUGAGCAGGAAGCUGCUAUGGCUUAUGAUAGUGCAGCACUAAAGCUUCGAAGUGGUGAUUCUCGCAGAAAUUUUCCAUUUACUAAUAUCACUGUUGAAGAGGAAAACUUUCAAAGUUCUUAUAGUACUGAAGCAGUGCUCAGCAUGAUAAAGGACGGUACUUACCGGUCCAAGUUUGCUGAUUUCUUGAGGACUCGUGCCCAAAAUUUUGAAGCUGAUCUUAGCCUUAAGCUUAUGAAGACACAAAGCAGUAGAAGACUAACGUGCAAGCAACUGUUUCAAAAGGAGCUUACACCAAGUGAUGUUGGCAAGCUUAAUAGACUUGUCAUCCCCAAAAAAUUUGCUACCAAGUUCUUCUCACCAUUGUCAGAAGGUGUCCAAGAAAAUGCUGCCGAUGUUCGGCAGCUAUCUUUCUAUGACAAGGCAAUGAAGUUGUGGAAAUUUAGAUAUUGUUAUUGGAGGAGCAGUCAGAGUUAUGUCUUCACAAGGGGUUGGAGUGGAUUUGUAAAGGAAAAGCAAUUAAAAGCUAAUGACAUCAUUUGUUUUUGCUUAUAUGAGUGCAGAGAAAACUCAAAAGUUACUCAAGCAUACUACAUGAUUGAUGUGAACAAUGGUGGACAUGGACACAGCAGUAGCUUGUUGGAGUUGGGCAACGAAAGAGUUGACAUGGGCAUGGAGUUGCAGCUUCACCUUGGCCAAAGAUGUGCACAAGAUUGCAUGGAGGAGGAGAAUGUUGAAGGAGAUGAUGGAUUGAUGGUUGCCAAGCCAAGAAGUGAGGAUUCACAUACAAAGAGUUUCAGACUCUUUGGUGCUGAAAUCAUCUGAGAGGGUCUAAGACGAUAUUUAGUCUCUUUUUGUUAAAUUUUUGGGCCAGAAUUUUAAUAUGGCCACCUAAUGAUGAUCUAAUCAGCAGAAUUUAGGUUAAACAUUAUUUAUUUUUAAGUACCAAAACAUCAUUUUUUUUUAAGACAAUUUUUAUAAUUUCUGAAUUAUUUUUAAAUAAUGUUUCAAAAGUG
This 3070-nucleotide unclassified non-coding RNA is filed under the name Hevea brasiliensis (rubber tree). The record is from RNAcentral. Lineage: Eukaryota; Viridiplantae; Streptophyta; Magnoliopsida; Malpighiales; Euphorbiaceae.